This 146-nucleotide unclassified non-coding RNA is filed under the name uncultured Trichocladium. RNAcentral's name for it is "sequence contains ITS2". Lineage: Eukaryota; Fungi; Ascomycota. The record is from RNAcentral.
GACCAUUCAAGCUCAGCUUGGUGUUGGGUGCUUGUCCUCCCCCGCGGUGGACUCACCUCAAAUGCAUUGGCGGCCGGCAUGUUGGCUUCGAGCGCAGUAGAAACGCGCCUGUCCUGACGUGCCCGUCCUCCACAAGGCCUUUUUAA